Molecule: ribosomal RNA, 2091 nt
Filed under: Triticum aestivum (bread wheat)
Lineage: Eukaryota; Viridiplantae; Streptophyta; Magnoliopsida; Poales; Poaceae
Description: partial small subunit ribosomal RNA
Source: RNAcentral
AUGACCUCCUCGACCCUUGCUUCUUUGCCCAUGCCGUCUGGCCUCUCGGCGCCGCCGUCUUCCGCUGUCCCCCAACCCUCUGCUAGCCUCAUUACCGUCAAGCUCACCUCCUCCAACUUCCUUCUCUGGAAAGCCCAGAUCCUCCUUCCCCUUCGCAUCGCCGGUGUCACCGGCUUUGUCGACGGCACCACCCCUACUCCUUCUUGCCUCCUCCCGCCUGAUGACAAGGGGGAGCACGCUCCUAAUCCGGAGUAUCCUACCUGGUUCCGUCAGGAUCAGAUUAUCCUGAGCUACCUGCUCGCCUCGCUCACCGACGAUGUGCUUCAGCAGGUGCACCUCUUCGACACCUCCCGCGCCAUCUGGGCGCACCUCGAGGAGAUGUACGUCACGCACUGCCGCGCCAGCGUGAUGCAGAUCAAGAUGGACAUGAUGAACUUCCGCAAGGGCAACCUCUCCAUGGUCGACUACUUCGCCAAGAUCCACUCCAACGCCGAUCAGCUCGCUGCUGCGGGUCGUCCCAUGCGAGAGGAGGACAACAUCACCGCCUUCAUCACCAGACUCGACAGCGACUACGAGCCCCUCAUCACGGCUAUCACAACCCGCAUCGACAUCAUGACAUUGGGAGAACUCUACUCCCAUGCCAUCUCCUUCGAGCGCCGCCGCGAGUAUCACGCAGCUCGUUUUCAACUCCACAUGGGCGGCUCCUCCGUCAACUAUGUCGCUCGCGACAACAACGGCAACACCAACAACCGCGGCAAGGGAAACAACCGCGGCAAGGGCCGCGACAACUCCGGUGACCGCGGUGACUACAACAACAACAACCGCGGUGGGUAUCGCGGUCACCGUGGCGGUGGUGGGAAUCGCCAGAACGGCAACCGUGGUGGUGACCGCGGUGACCAUGGUGGUAGCGGGGAUGCACGUCUGCAGUGCCAACUCUGCCGGGGCCCUGGGCACUAUGCCUGGGAGUGUGCUCAACGCUACAACCACGCCUUCCAACCUCAACACUCCAAGAUGGCGGGAACAAAUUCGGCGCAGAAAAUCCCCUCUCCGGAAACCCAGGCGGAUCCUGUCUCCCGAUCCGAUGCAGGAUCAGCCUCGGAUCACGCGCCGCCUGAGGCCAGCGAUGUGGCGGCAGGCGACCGCGUCGCGACAGGCGACCGCACUGGGCCCGGGCCUUCGCCACCCGCCAACCGCGUGCCUCUUGCGGACGGGCUGCGGUCCACCUGGCGCCUAUGGACCGGGCUGCUUCUGUGGGUCCGCCCGCUGUCGACAUCAGCGGCGCUGGAUCCCAGAUGGAUCUGGCGGCCGCAUCUUCGCCCGCGCCCGACACGGGAUCCCAGGGGGGUUCGCCCGCGCCCCCGCCUGCAUGCCACGGCAUGGCUGGGUACAAUACCGAGCAUGCGAGCCGAGCACGGCAGGGCUGGGUACAAUACCGAGCAAUUGUCUUACAACUUGCAAGUAACCGAGCCUAGUGGAUCGGAAGAAACUUUAAUUAGCUGCGAAAUGAGGAGCCGCCUUUUGCACUGUUCCUCCCUCCUCAUGCUGUGCUUCCUCUCCCGCAGGGCGGCGGCUAUGGCGGCUGCUCCUCGUCUCCCCGUCCGAGCGGUGAACCUCGGCGGGUGGCUGGUGACGGAGGGCUGGAUCCUGCCGUCUCUCUUCGACGGCAUCCCCAACCACGAUCUCCUGGACGGCACGCAGCUGCAGUUCAAGUCGGUAACGCAGAACGCCUACGUGGCCGCGGAGAAUGGCGGCGGUGCGGGGCUGGUGGAGAACCGGCCUCAGGCGUCUGGUUGGGAGACCUUCAAGCUGUGGCGGAUCAACGAGGUGACAUUCAAUUUCAAAGUGUUUGGCAACCAGUUCGUGGGCGUCCAGAGCGACGGCUCGCUGGUCGCGACGGCGGCUGUGCCGAGGCGGCCAGAGAGGUUCCGGCUAGUUCGCAGCCCCAGCGACCAGUACAGGAUGCGGAUCAUGGCGCCGAACGGACUCUUCUUGGAGCUCUGCACUACUCGUACUAUAUUUGCCAACUGGGCAACAAGUGGCUGCUCGCAAGCAAGGUGCAUGUGCGUGGCAAACCCUAUUUAUGACUUAUGA